Scatophagus argus is the source of this 643-nucleotide long non-coding RNA. RefSeq lists it as uncharacterized. The record is from RefSeq and is a predicted model, not a curated record. NCBI's taxonomy places the organism in Eukaryota, Metazoa, Chordata, Actinopteri, Scatophagidae. The transcript has 3 exons.
AGGAAAAAAAAGAGGGAGGGAGCUCUCUCGCAUGUAGAAAAAACAGAGGGAGAGAUGAAAAAUGGACGAUAAACGAGUGGCUUUGUUCUCCUGAGGGGCUGGGUUCAGCGGCGGAUGAAGAGCGAACUCUUACUGGGAAAUCACAGCUUGGCACAGUUACAAAAGGAAGGACGUGCGGCUCUUCACACUUUGGUUGAACGAAAGGAAAACAAGAUACAGAACUAUCCCUACAAAGCCAGACUGCAACUUGUGUGCUCAUCCUUAUUUGGGGAGGCACUGAUGCACCUUCGUCUCUCUCGAUACGGACUCUGAUACUUGACCUCUGAAUAUACCGAUCCAAUACCUGACAUACACAGUAAUAACUAAGAUGAUACAGCGGGAUGCCACUAAACACCAAAACCAAAGACAGCCCAGUAACCCGUCCAGUCGGCUUUAAAAAGGUUCAUUUUGAUGUGAACAGUCAGUCAUCUGUCGUCCAACUUGAAAGUUGUCCUCAUCAUGAAAUGAAAUUCUCCCAUGUGCCGACCAGAUCGCAAAUAUGUUUGCUGGCUUUGUUUCCAACAAAUCAUUUGGUGCUCAAUUAACAGCAAUGUAAUUUAAUAAUAUUAUUACAGAGAUUAUGUCGCAAUAUUCAGUGUGAAUA